Molecule: long non-coding RNA, 2043 nt
Organism: Helianthus annuus (common sunflower)
Lineage: Eukaryota; Viridiplantae; Streptophyta; Magnoliopsida; Asterales; Asteraceae
Exons: 5
Source: RefSeq, a predicted model, not a curated record
CUCCCCUCCCCUCCAUGUCUUUCCAAAUUGGAAAGACUAUUAUCAGGCAAAAAAAAACCCCAUUUUCCCUCCCCUCCCCUCCCCUCCCCCUGUUAAGUGGAUCUCUGGAACACAGCAUUAAUUUCUUCUGGUUUCUUUUCAAAAUCAUGCGACCUUACAUCCAUCUGCUUAUUCAACUCCUCCCAAAAUGCCACCCUUUCAUUCUCCACCCGCUUCACCAUUACCCCACCCCACCCCCUCCCCACUGCCUCCCCGGCGACGGUAUCGCACUUGGGGGAGAGAUACUAUCACAUCCUCAUUUAAUCUCAACGAAACCCUAACCAAUGGAACCUACAAAUUAACCACUAUUAUGAAUCCUUGUUAAAUCAAUUUUUCGAUGGAUUCUUCCUUCGCACUUCAAUUGGCCUCCAGAUUUGUCUUCCCCGCCCCAAAUUUCUGAAGAAUCUCUUUUGGAUGUUGGUUUUCAAUUGCAUAAAGAGGUGAUUCAGGUGGAAUCGUCUACCUCUGAUGAUCGGCAAACAAAAGCGUAGGUCGAGCUUAACCCAAAUAUAGAGCGAAGGUGUUCUAAUGUUCCGCCCACAGUUUUCUCGGCUAAAGGUACGGUUGUGUUAGGUAUGGGUCAUACUAAUUCUCCAUUCACAGUUUGCUCGGCUAAAGGCGAUGGUGUUCGAGAUUUUUUGCCUCUUACUGUGUGUACGUAUGUGAGAAGGGAAGGUUCCCUAAAAGAACGAGAACUUUUAUGCGGGCGGCUCAUUGAUCGGCUUAUACGACCAUUUUUCCCAUGAGGGUUAGGUGAUGUCUAGUGUGCUUUCUUCAAAUGAGAAACAAGUUCCAGAUUUAAUGACCUGCAACAAUGUUACGUACAAAAAUGGCGUCAACUAGUGAAUCCAUCACGGAACCACCAUAAAAAGGAUGCUGAUGUCAUGCAAAGGGAAGUCGACUAGAAGGGUGAUAGCAAAACUUAGACAUGUGGAGCUCUAUCAUUCAGCUAACAUUGUAUCGAGGUAUGUAAUAUGAUUGCAGGUGUAUGCCAUUUAUUUAUUUUUAUAGUUUAUUAGAACAAUAGGACAUUUAUAGUUUAAGUUUCAUUAUGUGCUGUCUACACAACAUAGAUUUUGAUCAUGAUGAUGAAAAUUUUGCUACUGCUGAUGUUUCAAGGCCUACAAAAGUUUCUAACAUCUCAACGGUGAGCCAUUUCUAUCUUUGGAUUUUUGGAAAAUAUUGUAGUACUGUACACGCAGGUGAUCAAACACUGAAAAUCCCAUGAUUGUCGCUAAACAUGUAUAUUAAGUUGUUUUUUUUUUCAUAUUGUUAAUGAACCCCUAGAAGCGCACUGUCCUGUAGUUGAACAUCUUCCUUUCUUGUAUUUAAUAGUCUUUAAACCUACUACUACUUCUUUGCUGGUUUUUUUCUUCAGUAUUGAACUUGCUGCCCAGGGUUCAUUUCAAACAAAUCUGUAGUUAGUUGAAGGAAUUUAAAGUUGUAAUUAGUUGAAGGAUAUUUAAAGUUGAUUUUUGUAUAAAUAAUUUUGGUUAAAUUUAGCAUUUGUAUCACGCAUCAAAAAUUGUUAGUAUUGGCAAAGAUUAUUGGGUGCUUGUUUGGGUCGGGGAAUAAGAUAGUCGUGAAUUGCUAGAGAAGAAAGUGACCUAGAAUUGAGUAGAAUUUAGAGAGAGAGAGAAAGUUAGCAAAUAUCAUUAGUUUAUGAACAAAUAGCAUUCUCUGCAGCUUGAUUGUUUUGCGUUCGAUCCCACGUUAGUUGUUGCUCAUAAACAGGAGCAUUUACUGAUGCUUUGUUUAUAUACUAUGCAGGGAAUGAGAGAAGGUUGUGUUGUUACAACUUGUAAGUGCGGCUAGGAGUGAUAGUUUGAGACAAAAGUAUUGUUGCAAGUGCUCCUAGGAGUGAUGCAAGUUAUGUUAGAGUUGCUGCAUCAUUUGUAUAUAUCUUUUGAUUAGAACUUAGAAGUUUAUGUAUCUAGUAUUUAAAUUGAAAACUUAUGCAUGGGUUUUGGUUUAUUAUUGUUAAUGUCAUUAAAUUUGCUUUUA